UGAGACACAGCAUUUAACGAGGUUCGGCUAUGCCUACGUCCUCGGAGAGCAGCAGCAGUAACUUUUCCACUAUGUAAAAUAAUAGGGCUACAAGUUUAGUGUUUACAAUAUAUGUGGCUCACUGAAAUUUCUCUCUAGGAGAAUUUCUCUCUGCUCUCUCUUUCCUCUUUCUUCCUUCUCUUUCUUUCUCUUUUUUUUCUUCUUUUCUUCUUUCCGUUUCUCUUCUUAUUUAUAGGCUGAAAUAAUCACUAUUCAUCACUGUUCACCCGUGACAGACAAACUCUAUCAAAGCCGCCAAUUUCACUAUUCAUCACUGUUCACCCGUGACAGACAAACUUUAUCAAAGCUGCCAAAUGAACAGUAAUGAAUAGUUAGUUGGCUCCACAUGUUUAUUCUUUUAUUCUUUUACAACACUCCCCCUUGGAGAUCACUAAUGAUAUAUCGGUUGUAUCUUUAAAGACUUGCUUGGAGAAAACCUAGUAAGGUAGAGAACUGAUGGAAAGAAGAGUACAACAAUCUGUAUAGCAUACUUCUGGAUGCUCCCCCUGAUUAAUAUCUCCCCCUGAUGUCUUCAUGACUAUCUUUUGGAUUGAGAAUCUUUCAGAGUGAGUGGAUG
This 616-nucleotide long non-coding RNA is filed under the name Prunus persica (peach). Its description in RNAcentral is "long non-coding RNA (PPER_LNC004190)". Lineage: Eukaryota; Viridiplantae; Streptophyta; Magnoliopsida; Rosales; Rosaceae. The record is from RNAcentral.